CAAAAAAAGCUUUUUCUUUUUUUUGAAAAUGUUAACAUUAAUGGCACAUAGAAAGCAUUCUCAUAAUAAAUUGAAUUCCAGCAACAGAAUGAUUAUAAAAAGGCAUGUUUGAUAACCGGAAUGCUUUCUAGAAGUUAGAACUUACCCAUUACUGUUUGUUUGAUAAAAAACAGUAAGGUGAAUAAAAAACUUACCUAUUACUAUUCAUGUUCACAGCUUUGUGUGCAAAAACGGUUCCAACCAAAAGGUCGGAACUUCAAAAAUUCCCCCGAUGACAUUUUGCCCUAAAAACAGUCUUAGAGCACUCAGCCACCCCUCUCGUCGCACUCAGCCGCUCGCUAGCAACCAGAACCAUCUCUGGUUCUCUCUCUCACUCACUCCUCUAUUGGUUACGUGCCCUAAAAAAGGCGCAACCACAACCAUCUAUGCCCUAAAAACGUGCCGAGAGUCAAAGAAGACGGAUGAGCAUGUGUUUUCAUCUUUCUCGAGGUAUGCUAUUGAGCUAUGAUUCUAUUUUAUUUUUUAUUUUUUAUUUAAAUAAUAUACUUAGCUGAGUUUUGGAGUGCAGGUGAACUAAAUAACAAUGAUUAAAAAAUAUUUUAAAUAAAAAAUAGUAAAAUACCCCUAAAUUUAUUGUGGUCAACAUUUUUUAUUCAAAAUAUUGUUUUUUAUUAAUUUUAUUCAAUCUUAUAAAAAUGAACCUAAAACCAAAAUUUCAGAUUGAUACAUUUUUAAAUAAAAAAUUAAAAAAAAAAAACGACAUUCAUUAUUAGCCCUAGGAUGAGCAUGGUUCAAUCCGAACCACUAAAAGGUGCACCUUUAAAGCGUCCUCAUGCUUUGGACGCAGUACCAAACCUAAACGAAGACCACACCUAUUUCAGAGACAGCUGUUAUAUAAACUAAUCAUAGAUAAUAAAAUGACCAAAUCAAAUCAUUAAAUUACAUAGAAACUUAAAUGACAGAAAUAAGAAUAUUAUCUUCCUUUUUCAUUGUUCAAAAUCGUAAAUAUACUAUUUUUUAGUUCCCCUUUUUACUGACGUGUCCAUGAUUGCAUCAAAACCAAGAGAUUGAGAAACAAAUUUGUCAUAAAAAAACCAAAUGUAGUCCACAAGAAAAAAGUUAACGGCAAAUGAAAUAAGAAACAAACAGUGUGUGGGAUUCAACAAUGUUUGUAAGUAAAAUCAUUUCAAUUUCCUAGAUCUUUUCUAUUGGAAGGGAUCUGCUAGAAAUAAACAUUCAAGCUCUUGACUUGGCAGUUAUGGUAGUAGGGGCCGCAACGGAACGUCCAUCAUCAAAUCACAGGUUCCCCACCAAUAAAAGAUAGAAAUACCAGCCAGCCUAAACAAAGUAUGUGCCACAAAACCCAAAUUCCCCUACUUGAAAAUGACUGAAAUAUUUUGUUUAACCUAAAUUCCCCUACUUGAAAAUGACUCUGAAAUAUCUUGUUUUUCAAAGUAACAGCUCAGGUAAAUAAAGAAGAAUCUUAGUUGAGAGAAAGUGAGAGAGCCUGGUAUGUCAGUAUGCUGACAUUUUGUUAGGUUGGAGAUGAAACCAAAAAUUGAAAUCUACUUCAGUAAUGACAAUGUCUCAUGAAAUUUUUUAAAAGGAAACUGUGGCAUUAAAAAUUUGCAUGACCCAUGCCUUUGAGAAUAUAAAUUUUUCAUAUUUCUUUAUUGUUAACAUUCUCAUAAUUUUGACAGUUUGAAAAAUUUGUAACCUCAGCCCAGGUUUGGAUAUCAUAAGCAACCUAUUUCUCUGUGUAUGGACAAGGUUUGAUCAUUUUCAAGUUAUGGUUGCUAAUACAAGAUAAUUAUAAUCAAGAACCCAUAAGAAAAAGAUGAUAGUGUUACAUAUUUAAAUUCAAGAAAAAGCAAAUAAAGAGGAGGAUAAAAGAAAUAUAAAGUUCUCAGACUCCAUGUGAUCCCAAGACCAUUUAAUUAAAAUAAUGAAUCAGAAAAACAAACGAAAUUAUGAUACUAAAAAGGUUAGUAAAUAUACCUCUUCGAAUUCAGAACAGAACCACCAAGGAUAAAACGUGUCCCCAAGUUGCUCACAUUUUGCAAUGCCAUCGUGCGUGCUUCUUCAUAUGUUGUCCCUCCAACAAUAAAGAUAACUACCUCCUGAUGCCUGCAAGAAUAUGCACUAGAUCAGAUGUCUAAUGGAAACUAACUCCCUCCAUUCGCUCCUCCAUAUCACGUCCGUUUGGCACAUUAAAAAGAAACCAAAUAUCAGUGAUUCAAAAAGCGGACCACCCAGUGCCUAGGCGGCCGCCUAGGCUGUCCGAAAGGCCUGGGCGCGGGCGCAUCGCCCAAGACUAGGCGCCCAGCCCUGGGCGGCCUGCGCCUCUCCAGGGGCGGAAAUAAGUUUUGGUAAGGGCAAUUUUGGUUUUGGUUUUUGUUUUUGGUACCAACAAUUAGUGUUUUAAGUUCAUUAGAAACCUAAAACUUAUUGGAGCCAAUUUUAGAUAGAGAAAGCCCCCCUAAAAACUAAUUUUUGGUGAAUUUUUUAGGAUCGAAGAGUUUCUCAAAAUUAACAAAAAUUGAUCAAAACAUCACCCAUUGAUCUUAGAUUUACUUUUUGAUGUUUUGCAGAGUUAUUAGGUUUUUUUUUAGAAGAUUUUGAGUAUUUAGAAGCAUCUUUGAGGUGAACGUUUAAAUAUUGAGCAAUCAAACUCAAAAUAAGUGCUUUUUUUAUUACUUCAGUAAAUUGCCUUAUUUUUGAAAUGUCUUCUUCGGGAUCUAAUAGGAAUGGUGAUCUCGAUUGGAAUACGGCUAUAACCCAAAUCCUAAUGAUAAAAAUUGCAUAAGAUGCAAGUUUUGUGAAAAGAAUACAAAAUGGGACAUAAACCGGUUCAAGAAACAUCCUGCCAGUAUCAGGGGGAUGUUGCCCCAUGUAAAAAGACUCAUGAUGCUGUUAAAGAGGAAAUAAACAAUUUUUUGAACAUGGUAAAAAUGAAAAAAGAUGAGAGAUUUGCCUCUAUAGCAGAGAUUAGGUCUAGGGUUCGGGUCAAUUAUGAUGAUGAUGAUAAUAGUGAUGAGGAAAGGAUUGGGGAGGGAUGUCAAGAGGUUGAACAAUCCAUUAUUAAGGGGAAGGGAAAGGGAGUUGUAAUUGCUUUUGGUUCUGGGACUAAGAAGCUUCAAGUUAGAGGCCCUAUGGAUAGUUUUUUACCUCAGCCUGACCCUGAGGUUGCAAGAGAGAAAACAAAGAAGCAAACCACUAUUGAAAAUAGAAUCAAGAAGGAAGAGAGAGAUAGAGCUUUGUAUUAUCUUGCUACAUGGUUUUAUGAGGCGGGCAUUCCUUUCAAUACCGCUCGCUUAAGCAACUUCUAUGCUGCGGUAGAGGCAAUUUGGCCUUGGGAUAUAACCCCCAACUCCAUAUGAGCUUUCAGAGCCUUUUUUAAAAAAUGUAGUCAGUGUCACGAAGGAAGUUGUAGAACUUAAGAAGGAUGCAUGGGCUCAGUAUGGGGUUUCUAUUAUGACUGAUGCUUGGAGUGCCAGGAAGAGAAGAAGUCAGAUGAAUUUGCUUGUGAAUUAUCAUGUAAGGACUGUUUUUUUUAAGCCUAUUGAUGCCUCUGAUCAUAUCCAUGAUGCCCAUUACAUAUUUCAAGUGAUAGAGAAGGGAAUCAAGGAGUUUGGGGAGCAUCUUGUUGUACAAGUUGUCACAGACAAUACUGCUCCUAAUGUUUGCUGCAUCUAAUUUGUUGCGCAUAGCUUAUCCUAGAAUCUUUUAGACACCAUGUGCAGCACAUUGUAUAAACUUCAUGUUUGAGGUUCUUGGCAGUUUAACCAAGAUAUCAGGUGCAGUGAAGAAAGCCAAGUUAGUUACAAAUUUCAUUUAUAGCCAUCAUCUCACCCUCAGCAUGAUGCGUACCUUUACAAAGAAAAAAUAGAUUGUGAGGCCUAAGGUCACGAGAUUUGCGACCUGGUACUUAUGCCUAGAUAGCAUACAUUCGAGGAGAGUGCAGUUGAGGCAAAUGUUUACUUCGGAUGACUGGAGAGCAUGCAAGUGGUCCAAGGAUCAAGUUGGGAAGAAGAUGAGAGAUAUUAUCCUUUCUAAGGCUUUUCGACGAGGGGUGAAGGGCGCUCUUAAGGUAUUUUUUCCUCUUAUCAAAGUCCUUCGCAUGGUUGAUAGUGACAAGCCUUCUAUGGGCUACAUGUAUGAUGCUAUGGAGAAAUGCAAAAGAGAGAUAGCCCAAAAUUUAAAUGAUGACGAAACCCGCUACAAGCCUGUUUGGGAGAUUAUAGAUGAGAAGUGGGAUAGGCAGCUACAUCAGCGAUUGCAUGCAGCUGGUUAUUAUUUGAACCCAGCUUUUUUUUAUAUUGACAAGGAUAUACAAACAAAUGACACAAUUAUGAAUGGAUUUAAUGAGUGUGUAGAUGUGUUAGUCCCUGAUCCUGAUAUGCAGGAUAUUAUAUACACUAAUGAGCUGAUAAAUUACAAGUGCUCAUUAAAGUCUUUUGAGAGUCCAAUGGCGAUGAGGCAAAGGACCAAAAUUAAUCCAGGUAUUUAAUAUUCUUAAGUUCAUCAAGUUCAGGUAUUCAAGUAGUUCUAUUAUUUGUUUAUGAUUUUUUUCUAUAUCUUUGCGGCCCAUUGGUGGAGCCAACAUGGGUGUAGUUCUCCAAAUUUACAAAAGUUGGCCAUUCGGAUCUUAAACCUAACCACUUCUUCAUCCAGUUGUGAGCGCAAUUGGAGUACGUUUGAAGGGAUAAGACCGUAACUAAGGGUAAUUUGUAUAAUUUUAUAAAUAAUACAUGAACCAUAGAUAUUAGAUUUUAAUUAGUUUCAUUUGAUUUUGUUAAAAUCAUACAAAAAAAAGAACAGGCUUAAAUCAAAGAGACUCAAUGACCUAGUCUAUGUCAAGUACAAUCGAUUCUUGAAAGACACGUUUGCUAAGAGAGAUGAGAGAGACCCUAUCAGAUCAAAAAAUAUGGAUUAUGCUAUGGAGUGGUUAGUUAAUGAUGAUGAGGUCGAGAGGUAUGAAGGAUUGACAUGGGACAUGUUCAUGGAUGCUUCAGGAACAUCAGCUGACCCUCCUAGGGCUGCUAGAUCUUCUGCACAGAGAACAAGGGUGGAUGAAGAAGAGGCUGAUUCAAAAGAGACGGAGGAGGACGACGACGACCACUAUGUCGAGGAAGGUGACGACUCUGUCGACUCUGAUGAAUAUGAUGCCAAUGCAACUGACCCAAGAUUUUCUGAUGAU
RNAcentral lists this long non-coding RNA (5200 nucleotides) under Amborella trichopoda. RNAcentral describes it as "long non-coding RNA (ATRI_LNC002115)". The record is from RNAcentral. Lineage: Eukaryota; Viridiplantae; Streptophyta; Magnoliopsida; Amborellales; Amborellaceae.